GUUUGCCCAAGUGGUCAAGGGGGCAGACUGAAGAUCUGCUGCACACAAGUGCACGUGGGUUCGAACCCCACAGUUAACA
This 79-nucleotide transfer RNA is filed under the name Spinacia oleracea (spinach). It matches the Rfam family "tRNA". From Rfam's summary of the family: Transfer RNA (tRNA) molecules are approximately 80 nucleotides in length. Their secondary structure includes four short double-helical elements and three loops (D, anti-codon, and T loops). Lineage: Eukaryota; Viridiplantae; Streptophyta; Magnoliopsida; Caryophyllales; Amaranthaceae. The record is from Rfam by way of RNAcentral.